UUUUUUAUACUUAUAGCGAGAGUUUUGAGCUCUCGUCCUUGUGGUACAACUUUGCAUGCACGCAUGCGCGUUUGAUAUCAUAUUUUAUAAUAAAAUUUUUUCUAAGUCUUUUGGCGGGAAACGUUUGUAUAUGUAAAGUUCACUUGCUACCUCUUUCUUUCAGAUGUCUUGAAAAUGACAAGUUUUAAGAAGUCGCCAAAGAAAAAUUGUCAACCUUGGAAGGAAGGCAAAAAUUGAUGUGGUGGUUUUUUUUUCUUGUCUGGUACUCGUCUGUGUCUGGCAUCUGCAAAAGAGUCUUGUAAGCAUGGUUUUCAGUAAACUGACACAAGUUUGUAACAUGAUAAAGUCGAUUUAUUUUGUAAGAUUGAUAUUACAGUACAAAUCUUUCGCGUUCAAUAGAAAACAGUGUACACGUACACGCUAAGUCCGUAACUCUUCGUCCUCUUACCUCCGCCAUAUUCUGAAGAUGUUAUGAUCGUAAUAAAACCUUCAUUUGCGAAUCCUGUGUUAUUUUCCUCUAAUAGCUACAACUUUCUUGAGUUACCGCGAUAAUCGCAAUAUGUGGAACUAGAUUAUGAACUAAUGACCCGCGACAGAGUUAAUUACUAAACCUUUGAGAAAAAUAAAAGAAUUACAUACCGCCGCUGUUUUCCUUCGACAACUACAAAGUUUACGAAUAAUUAAUAGACUUGAAGAAGAUUUAAAAAUUCUUUCAACAUAUAACUGCCACUAAGUCUAAAUAAACUUAGAAAUUCCUAUUCGCGAUUUGCUGCAAAAAGUAAGUACGAAAGAUUGAAGGGUUUUAAGCGAGCCGCGCUGUACGUAAACAACAACAGUAACAUGUAAAUUAUAACGAUCACAAUGACAUUCGAUAAAAUUACCAUUUGCACUGUUUUUGGAAUGAACAAUUUGAAUGACUAUGAACUUCGCGGAUAUUCCAGAUCGUAAACAUUAACUUUGGGUGAGAAAAUGCGUCAUCCUUUUCAUUGCCGCGGCUUACAAACCAAAUAAAUUCAUCGGCACAUGCACAGGAGCAAUUUUUGUCCCUGCUCGAUUGGGAAUAGUGAAGUAAAGAAAAUUGAAAUUUCCAUUUUUCUUUCACAAGGAGCCAUUGAAACUUGCACCGCA
Molecule: long non-coding RNA, 1128 nt
Organism: Orbicella faveolata
Lineage: Eukaryota; Metazoa; Cnidaria; Anthozoa; Scleractinia; Merulinidae
Source: RefSeq, a predicted model, not a curated record